GACAGAGGGUGCAAACGUUGUUCGGAAUUACUGGGCGUAAAGCGAGUGUAGGCGGUUUCCUAAGUCGGAUGUGAAAGCCCCGGGCUCAACCCGGGAAGUGCACUCGAAACUGGGAGGCUAGAGUAUCGGAGAGGUUGGUGGAAUUCUCGGUGUAGAGGUGAAAUGCGCAGAUAUCGGGAGGAACACCUAUGGCGAAGGCAGCUCGCUGGGACGUUACUGACGCUGAGACGCGAAAGCGUGGGGAGCAAACAGG
This 253-nucleotide ribosomal RNA is filed under the name uncultured bacterium. RNAcentral's name for it is "partial 16S ribosomal RNA". It matches the Rfam family "Bacterial small subunit ribosomal RNA", at positions 524 to 776 of the family's 1533-position model. The record is from RNAcentral.